Molecule: ribosomal RNA, 253 nt
Filed under: uncultured bacterium
Lineage: Bacteria
Description: partial 16S ribosomal RNA
Rfam family: Bacterial small subunit ribosomal RNA
Source: RNAcentral
UACAGAGGGUGCGAGCGUUAAUCGGAAUUACUGGGCGUAAAGGGCGCGUAGGCGGUGAUACAAGUGAGAUGUGAAAUCCCUGGGCUUAACCUAGGAAUGGCAUUUUAGACUGUGUUGCUAGAGGUCAGUAGAGGGUAGUGGAAUUUCCGGUGUAGCGGUGAAAUGCGUAGAGAUCGGAAGGAACACCAGUGGCGAAGGCGACUACCUGGACUGAAUCUGACGCUGAGGCGCGAAAGCGUGGGGAGCAAACAGG